AAACUUCUUUAUCACCGAGUGCUUGCACUCACCGAUAAAGAGUUGAGUGGCGAACGGGUGAGUAACACGUGGGCAACCUGCCCAAAAGAGGGGGAUAACACUUGGAAACAGGUGCUAAUACCGCAUAACCAUAGUUACCGCAUGGUAACUAUGUAAAAGGUGGCUAUGCUACCGCUUUUGGAUGGGCCCGCGGCGCAUUAGCUAGUUGGUGGGGUAAAGGCUUACCAAGGCAAUGAUGCGUAGCCGAACUGAGAGGCUGAUCGGCCACAUUGGGACUGAGACACGGCCCAAACUCCUACGGGAGGCAGCAGUAGGGAAUCUUCCACAAUGGGCGAAAGCCUGAUGGAGCAACGCCGCGUGGGUGAAGAAGGUCUUCGGAUCGUAAAACCCUGUUGUUAGAGAAGAAAGUGCGUGAGAGUAACUGUUCACGUUUCGACGGUAUCUAACCAGAAAGCCACGGCUAACUACGUGCCAGCAGCCGCGGUAAUACGUAGGUGGCAAGCGUUAUCCGGAUUUAUUGGGCGUAAAGGGAACGCAGGCGGUCUUUUAAGUCUGAUGUGAAAGCCUUCGGCUUAACCGGAGUAGUGCAUUGGAAACUGGGAGACUUGAGUGCAGAAGAGGAGAGUGGAACUCCAUGUGUAGCGGUGAAGUGCGUAGAUAUAUUGGAAGAACACCAGUGGCGAAAGCGGCUCUCUGGUCUGUAACUGACGCUG
This 713-nucleotide ribosomal RNA is filed under the name uncultured bacterium. Its description in RNAcentral is "bacterial SSU rRNA". It matches the Rfam family "Bacterial small subunit ribosomal RNA", at positions 69 to 748 of the family's 1533-position model. The record is from RNAcentral.